CUCAAUGAAAUUUCAAUUGCCGCAAAUAUGUGCCAAGGUAGCAUAAUCAUUUGUCUUUUAAUUAAAGACUAGAACGAAAGAUUUAACAUUNCUAUUACUUUCUUACAUAUAAUUAUUUAAUUUAUUUUAAACAUAUAAAAAUAUUUAUAACUUAAAAAGACGACAAGACCCUAUCGAACUUAACUAAAGUUUAACUGGGGUAGUUAAUUAAAUAUAAUUUUAAUUUAAAUCCAAACACAACCUAAUUUAAUUAAAAAAUUAAGUUACCAUAGGGAUAACAGCGUAAUAUUUUUCAAAAGUUCUUAUUUCAAAAAUUGAUUACGACCUCGAUGUUGAAUUAAUUAUCUACUAAAUGCAAUAAUUUAAUAAGAAAGUCUGUUCGACUU
RNAcentral lists this ribosomal RNA (386 nucleotides) under Draconarius brachialis. RNAcentral's name for it is "partial 16S ribosomal RNA". Lineage: Eukaryota; Metazoa; Arthropoda; Arachnida; Araneae; Agelenidae. The record is from RNAcentral.